Molecule: ribosomal RNA, 1866 nt
Filed under: Paris polyphylla var. yunnanensis
Lineage: Eukaryota; Viridiplantae; Streptophyta; Magnoliopsida; Liliales; Melanthiaceae
Description: bacterial LSU rRNA
Rfam family: Bacterial large subunit ribosomal RNA
Source: RNAcentral
AGGGGGUCAUCCCGACUUACCAACCCGAUGCAAACUCCGAAUACCGUGGAGUAUAUCCUGGCAGACACACGGCGGGUGCUAACGUCCGUCGUGAAAAGGGCAACAACCCUAACCUCCAGCUAAGGUCCCCAAGUCAUGGCUAAGUGGGAAAGGAUGUGAGGAUCCCAAAACAACCAGGAUGUUGGCUUAGAAGCAGCCAUCAUUUAAAGAAAGCGUAACAGCUCACUGGUCUAGUCAAGGGUCUUUGCGCCGAAAAUGUAACGGGGCUGAAGCCAUGCACCGAAGCUGAGGAUGUGCACUUUGUGCACGUGGUAGCGGAGCGUUCCGUAAGCCUGUGAAGGGACAGUCGUGAGACAUCCUGGAGGUAUCGGAAGUGCGAAUGUUGACAUGAGUAACGAUAAAGAGGGUGAGAGACCCUCUCGCCGAAAGACCAAGGGUUCCUGCUUAAAGUUAAUCUGAGCAGGGUUAGCCGGCCCCUAAGGUGAGGCAGAAAUGCGUAGCCGAUGGGAACCACGUUAAUAUUCGUGGGCCUGGAGGUGUGUGACGGAUGGUGUAACUUGUUCGGGCUUAUUGGAUUGCUCCGGGCAGGGAAAUCGUCCCAGGAAAUAGCCCCUCCAUAUAGACCGUACCCUAAACCGACACAGGUGGACUGGUAGAGUAUACCAAGGCGCUUGAGAGAACUAUGCUGAAGGAACUCGGCAAAUUGCACGCGUAACUUCGGAAGAAGCGUGACCCUUUUGUACGCAAGUACAGGAGGGUGGCACAGACCAGGGGGUAGCGACUGUUUAUCAAAAACACAGGGCUCUGCGAAGUCGCAAGACGACGUAUAGGGUCUGACGCCUGCCCGGUGCUGGAAGGUUAAGAGGAGAGGUGCAAGCUCUGAAUCGAAGCCCCAGUAAACGGCGGCCGUAACAAUAACGGUCCUAAGGUAGCGAAAUUCCUUGUCGGGUAAGUUCCGACCUGCACGAAUGGCGUAACGACUUCCCCGCUGUCUCCAACAUAGACUCAGUGAAAUUGAAUUCCCCGUGAAGAUGCGGGGUUCCUGCGGUCAGACGGAAAGACCCCGUGCACCUUUACUAUAGCUUUACACUGGCAUUCGUGUCGGCAUGUGUAGGAUAGGUGGUAGGCUUUGAAGCAGGGACGCCAGUUUCUGGUGGAGCCAUCCUUGAAAUACCACCCUUAUCGUCAUGGAUGUCUAACCGCGGUCCGUCAUCCGGAUCCGGGACAGUGUAUGGUGGGUAGUUUGACUGGGGCGGUCGCCUCCGAAAGAGUAACGGAGGCGCGCGAUGGUGGGCUCAGACCGGUCGGAAAUCGGUCGUCGAGUGCAAUGGCAUAAGCCCGCCUGACUGCGAGACUGACAAGUCGAGCAGAGACGAAAGUCGGUCAUAGUGAUCCGGUGGUCCCGCGUGGAAGGGCCAUCGCUCAACGGAUAAAAGGUACUCUAGGGAUAACAGGCUGAUUUUGCCCAAGAGUCCAUAUCGACGGCAAAGUUUGGCACCUCGAUGUCGGCUCAUCACAUCCUGGGGCUGGAGCAGGUCCCAAGGGUUCGGCUGUUCGCCGAUUAAAGUGGUACGUGAGCUGGGUUCAGAACGUCGUGAGACAGUUUGGUCCCUAUCUGCCGUGGGUGUACGAAGCUUGAGAGGAUCUGUCCCUAGUACGAGAGGACCGGGAUGGACAUACCUCUGGUGGACCUGUCGUGGCGCCAGCCGCGCAGCAGGGUAGCUAAGUAUGGAAUAGAUAACCGCUGAAAGCAUCUAAGCGGGAAACUAACCUCAAAACAAGGCUUCGCCGAGAGCCGUGGUAGACCACCACGUUGAUAGGCCAGGUGUGGAAGUGCCGCGAGGCAUGCAGCUUACUGGUACUAAU